Non-coding RNA from Pelobates cultripes (western spadefoot toad), 216 nucleotides. Lineage: Eukaryota; Metazoa; Chordata; Amphibia; Anura; Pelobatidae. The record is from the annotation of a GenBank genome assembly.
GGGGUGGACGCGAAAGGAGCAACGGCUGCUACAUAAGAUCACGCUAGCGGCGAGACAGGCUAUGGCCUUCAGGUGGCUACAGCAGGAGCUACCGCAGAUUAUGGAUGUGAUAGAUAGGAUUAAAGACAUGCGGGUGAUGGAUGAUUUUACGGCUAGGGUCAGGGGCACCUCUAGGACCUUUCAACGGGUGUGGGAGCCGUGGGAUGGGUCCCGGUG